Non-coding RNA from Ictidomys tridecemlineatus (thirteen-lined ground squirrel), 72 nucleotides. Lineage: Eukaryota; Metazoa; Chordata; Mammalia; Rodentia; Sciuridae. The record is from Rfam.
GAGAGUGUAGCUCGGUGGUAGAGCGCUUGCUCUGCAUGCACAAAUCCCUGGGUUUGGUUCCCUGCAUUUCCA